ACUUGUCUUGUCAAGGAUUUUGGUACCAGAAAUUAUAUGAAGAUUCUCUUUUUUACAGUUUAAUUUGCGCGCAUUCUCUUGUCGUAACUUUUACGGCAUGUUUGGUAGACUUUAUGGAGUAUAAUGGAAAGAACUUUCAGCUCAUUGUCUCACUAUCCCAUUAUGUUCUACCAAACAUGUUCUUAGAUCUUCAGAUCCAUUCUCAUGCUUCAUACUUGUUACUUUGACUCUCUCUCUAACUCUACACACACAGACAUUUCUUAUGUAAGAUUCCUUUUCUGUUUCUAACAUAGAUUGGAAUAGAAGAAGGUGUUUCCCUGUCAGCUGCAACUGAUCAUAUUGCCAGACAUGUAUGACAAACCUUUUGAUGAUGCUCACACAAAAAGUGUAUAAUUUAUUGUAUCCCUCCCAUUUGUUCUAAUUGCAGAGUAAAUUGAGAAGUUUUUCCUUUAAUUUGUUUGGACUCAUGGUAUUGCAAACUGUUGGAGCAAUACCCGGGAUUGUUGUUAUUUGCCUUGACUGGUUAUCUUCUUG
This 534-nucleotide unclassified non-coding RNA is filed under the name Hevea brasiliensis (rubber tree). The record is from RNAcentral. Lineage: Eukaryota; Viridiplantae; Streptophyta; Magnoliopsida; Malpighiales; Euphorbiaceae.